This is an RNA transcript of Sarcophilus harrisii (Tasmanian devil), 4169 nucleotides long. It is a transcript of the gene named suppression of tumorigenicity 7 like, with no coding region annotated. The transcript has 16 exons. The record is from RefSeq and is a predicted model, not a curated record. NCBI's taxonomy places the organism in Eukaryota, Metazoa, Chordata, Mammalia, Dasyuromorphia, Dasyuridae.
ACUUGCUAUGACGAUGGGCCUCAGCCCUUCCCAGAGCGGUGCAGAAGCCCCAGGGAUAGCCGGGCAGCAGGGACUGCUCCCGCUGUGCCCAAAGCACGGCUUCAUUCUCACCCUACUCUUAGGGAACCGUAAGGGGAGAAGGGGGGAGGGGAGCGUCCGUGAAGACUCGGCCUCCGCCAGCCGCGAGUAAUGAUAACCAACUCCAGAAUGGAGUAUGAUCCCAGGCCCGUCGGCGAAGCCCCUCCCCGAGGACCCAGGGCCGGAAGGGAGGGCGCAUGUCGUCUUCCCCGGGUUCCCUAGGGUGCCUCAUCACCGUCCGAACCGCCUUCAGGUCCGCCGCUAUCCCAGGAUUCCCGCCGCCGCCUCCGCCUCCUCCCGGCAGAGCGUCUGCGGGACCUGCAAGAUGGCGGACGGCGGCGGCGGGGCGGCGGCGGCCUCGGCGGCGCCCACUCCUCCCCCUCCCGAGGGCCGGGGCUCGCGCGCUGGCUGGACGCAGCGCCUGCGGGCCGCGCUAGCAGGGGCCGGCGUCUCGCUGUGGGUCGUGGCCGGCCUGGGGCUGCUCUACGCCUUGAGGGCGCCCCUGAGGCUGUGUGAGAACCUGGCGGCGGUGACAGCAUUUUUAAAUUCUUUGACUCCAAAAUUCUAUGUGGCACUAACAGGGACGUCAUCUCUAAUAUCUGGACUAAUAUUUAUAUUUGAAUGGUGGUACUUCCGCAAGUAUGGUACAUCAUUUAUUGAGCAAGUAUCUAUAAGCCAUUUGCGGCCACUCAUUGGAGGGACAGAGAAUAAUGUUCCAGAGCCAGGUUCUCCUUCUGGUGGCAGGGAAGCUGAUACCAAUAGGCAGAAUUUGUCAGAAUGCAAGGUAUGGCGAAACCCUUUAAAUCUUUUCAGAGGGGCUGAAUACAGAAGAUAUACAUGGGUGACGGGCAAGGAACCACUUACAUAUUAUGACAUGAACUUGUCAGCUCAGGAUCAUCAGACCUUUUUCACUUGUGAUACUGAUUCUCUACGUCCUUCAGAUACAGUGAUGCAGAAGGCAUGGCGAGAGAGAAAUCCUCCAGCUCGUAUCAAAGCAGCUUAUCAAGCUUUAGAACUGAAUAAUGACUGCGCCACUGCCUAUGUUCUGUUAGCGGAGGAGGAGGCCACUACCAUUGUGGACGCUGAGAAGUUGUUUAAACAGGCCCUCAGAGCUGGGGAGACAAUUUACAGGCGGUCACAGCAGCACCAGCACCAGAGUCCUCAGCACGAAGCCCAACUUAGAAGAGACACUAAUGUAUUGGUUUAUAUUAAGCGAAGACUAGCAAUGUGUGCGAGAAAAUUAGGAAGAAUAAGAGAAGCAGUAAAAAUAAUGAGAGAUCUAAUGAAAGAGUUUCCUCCUCUUAGUAUGUUGAACAUCCAUGAAAAUCUCCUAGAAUCCCUUCUAGAAUUACAGGCUUAUGCAGAUGUUCAGGCAGUUCUAGCAAAAUAUGAUGAUAUCAGUCUUCCAAAGUCAGCAGCAAUUUGUUAUACAGCAGCACUAUUGAAGACAAGGACUGUGUCAGAUAGAUUUUCUCCAGAAACAGCAUCUAGAAGAGGACUGAGCACUGCAGAAAUUAAUGCUGUGGAAGCAAUUCAUAGAGCAGUGGAAUUUAACCCUCAUGUUCCAAAAUACUUACUUGAAAUGAAAAGUUUAAUAUUGCCCCCAGAACAUAUUCUGAAACGGGGGGACAGUGAGGCAGUUGCCUAUGCUUUCUUUCAUCUUCAGCACUGGAAGCGAAUAGAAGGUGCCCUUAAUCUGUUGCAGUGUACGUGGGAAGGCACCUUUAGAAUGAUCCCAUACCCAUUAGAGAAAGGCCAUCUAUUUUACCCUUAUCCCAGCUGCACAGAGACAGCCGACAGAGAACUAUUACCCACAUUUCAUCAUGUUUCUGUUUACCCAAAGAAGGAGCUUCCUUUUUUCAUUCACUUCACAGCAGGCCUGUGUUCCUCUACAGCAAUGCUUGCCCUUCUCACCCAUCAAUUUCCUGAAAUCAUGGGUGUUUUUGCUAAAGCUUUUUGAAUAAAGAUAUGAAUGCCAAGUGUUGCCCUCCCUGAGUGGUCACUAAAAGAAGGUCCUUCUGGAUGUAUAAUUUUCUCCAGAGCAAAAUUAAUUUUUGAUCCUGGCUUUAUUUGACAAGAUACCAGUGGAAGAAGAAAUGAGUUUCUCAGAUCUUCACCACAGUCUGGGGAUAAAAGGUAGGCUCAUUUUUCUGUUGGGAAGUUGGAGCUCCAAAUCAUGCAUCUAUUCAGAGGCACACGGCCAUUUAUUCUUUAUUAUUAUUUUGGGGGUUACAUUUUCUAAAAUUUAAUUUUGCCCAUCCCUUACCCCACUGGCGAGGGCCUCCAUUUGACACCGAUUUAUAAAUAUAUGUAAAAUUGUACUAUUUGUUGUGAUUCUUAGCAAUUUUAUUUUAACUGCAUUAUUAGCUGUACUGGUAAAUUUCUUUUAAAGCUUAUCUCAGUUUUUCUCUUCCUUCCAAUGACCUUCAUCUCCCCUCCCCUUAAACUGCCCACCAGUACUGCCCCAUCCUAAACCUUAUCCUCACCUGGGACAGCUACACCCUAACAUUUUAAAUUAGAAAGUCCCCUGCCCUGGGUUUUGCACCUUCUUAACCUCCCUCAUACUGCACCUGUUCUUUAGUCUUCUUUUCUCCCAAUCCCUCAACCUCUGCUGGGUUCUCAUUCCUCCCUACCUAGCCUGAUCAAUUAUUUCAAUCAUAUUCUUACUGGAAUCCUAGAAUUCAUAGAGUCAUAGGAUUUGGGAGGGUGAGGAAUUGUAGUGGUCAUCAAUUCCAACUUUAUAGAUUGGACCCCAAUUCCUUCACUUUAUAGAUGUGGAAACUGGGAUCCUAGAGAGGUGAAGAAGCUUCCCUAAGGUCAUUUAGAAGCACUGAGAGUUGUACCUGGGCUCUGUGACCACAUCACGGCUUCUUUCCACUUUUUGCCAGGUUGGAUAGCCUUUCUUAGGAGCCUGCCUGGAGCCAGGAAGACCUGGAUUCAAAUGAUACCUCAGACAGAUGCUUAUUGACCCUCAGCUGUGUGAUUCUGGGCAAGUCACUGUACCCCUUUUGUCUCGGUUGCCUCAUUAAAAACGAGCUGGAGAAGGAAAUAGCAAAGCCAGUAUCUUUACCAAGAAAACCCGAAAUCCUGAAGAGUGAGACAGGACUGAAUCCGACCCAGGAACCCACAUAGCACCCCCAGGGACCUUCCACAACCAUUCCGCUUCUUAUAUUUAAUUGACUUUCUCUGCCCUCGGUACAUGAUCUGAAUAUGCUGGGGAAAAUAAUGACAUUUCCAGACCAAACAAUGCAUUUGUCUUUCCUGUUAGUAUCUACUACAAAAGAGAGAUCUAUGGCUUGGGUGAGAGAUAAAAGUGGAAAUGAGAGGGUGUGAGGCAGUAGUCCCUGGGAAAGGACAGGGGUACAAAAGGAGAAAAAAACAUCAAGGAAACAUUUUAAGAGACAAAAUCAUGUAAUCUUGCUGACUUUUUCAUUGCAAAAUUUUCCUGACUGGCUUUAGCUAAACCACUCUGUUCUGGUCCAUAGCUCUUGUUCAAUCUCAGUUUGCUAGGAUUUUCUCUAGUAGCCUCUUGAAUCCUUGUUCCUUUUCCCCAUAAUUUAUAAUUUUCUCCCUCUGUCCCCCACUUGGAAGAUUAUUUUAAAGACACAUUUCAAAUAUUGUCUUCAUCCAUCAGCUCCUCCUUCCCUAAUUAUCUCAGGAAGAAGUAAUUUCCUUGUGUUUUUUAUUCCAUUCCUAUCUGUAUUUUCUGGUACUUUAUCCUAUUAGUUAUCCCCUUUCUUAGAAAUGGAAUCUAUCUCUCCACUUGAUCCUUUUUAUUUACAAAUAUCCAUAGAUCUCCCCUAUUCUUAAAAAUAAAAUAGUACAUCUUUUGGACUGUUAUACCUUCAGGCCACUGCCCCUUUGUUGCCAAAAGCUUGCAAGAUGUAAAAUACAUUUACUACCUCUAUAGUCUCCACUUGAUUUGUUUUAUAACUCUACUGAAACUACUCUCUGAACAUUCAUCAGUAACAUUCAUUCAACAAACAUUAAGCAACCAAUAACCAUGUUAUCAAGAAUCUAUAAUGUUCUAGGUACUGUGCUGUGUGCUGGGGAUACAGAAAAUCUGUCCCGGUCCAGUACUACAUUUACAA